AGUUUCCCUUAUUUUAGCAGAUUCAAAUUUGGAAAUCAAUUAUUGAAUCAAAUAUUUUGAUUUCUUUUUUGGUGAAAUAUAAUCAGUAAUUAGAGGGCUGUGAUGACUAGUUUCAUUUCUCGAUACUGAUCUAAAGUUGUUUUUUUUUACGGAUCAAGAAAAGGCAACGAUUUAAGAUUGAUGACCGCGUUUGUGCGUGUCUGAGCCUGCCCUUUUCCCUUUUGGUGAUCUUGAUUUUGAUUUUGUUUGGCUGCUUUCUGAGGUUUUCAAUUUUCUUGCUUGUUUUGAAAAGGUUGAAAGGAUUUUUUUUCCGGGGCUGCGAUGAUAAAAGUAAAAUUCCUCGUACUGAAAAUGCCCGAUUUGGGUAUGACAGACUCUUAUUUACACCCAUAGAAUCUGAGCUUCCCCAAGUUUUCUUUUUAUUUUUUAUUUUUU
RNAcentral lists this unclassified non-coding RNA (435 nucleotides) under Hevea brasiliensis (rubber tree). The stretch from base 313 to 406 matches the Rfam family "Small nucleolar RNA snoR8a". Lineage: Eukaryota; Viridiplantae; Streptophyta; Magnoliopsida; Malpighiales; Euphorbiaceae. The record is from RNAcentral.